UACGAGGGGGGCGAGCGUUGUUCGGAAUUAUUGGGCGUAAAGGGCGCGUAGGCGGUUUUAUAAGUCUUGUGUGAAAUCUUCGGGCUCAACUCGAAGUCUGCACGAGAAACUAUCUGGCUUGAGUGUGGGAGAGGUGAGUGGAAUUCCUGGUGUAGCGGUGAAAUGCGUAGAUAUCAGGAGGAACACCUGUGGCGAAAGCGGCUCACUGGACCACAACUGACGCUGAGGCGCGAAAGCUAGGGGAGCAAACAGG
RNAcentral lists this ribosomal RNA (253 nucleotides) under uncultured bacterium. RNAcentral's name for it is "partial 16S ribosomal RNA". It matches the Rfam family "Bacterial small subunit ribosomal RNA", at positions 524 to 776 of the family's 1533-position model. The record is from RNAcentral.